CGCGUGCCACCACGCCCAGCUAAUUUUGUAUUUUUAGUAGAGACGGGGUUUCACCAUGUUAGCCAGGCUGGUCUCAAACUCCUGACUUCAGGUGAUCCAUCCACCUCGGCCUCCCAAAGUGCUGGGAUUACAGGUGUGAGCCACUGCUCCCGGCCUGGGGAAUCCCAUUCUUAUGAUGUGAUCGCCCAGUGUCCCUGUGUCAGAACUCUGGUGCCGAGAGAGACCUUAGAGAUCACCUGAUCCCACGCCUUCAUUUUACAGAUGGGGGAACCGAGGCUCAGGAAGGUGAUUUUUCCAAGGUCACCUGCCUAGGUGUCCUGGAGCCAGCUCUGUGCUCUUCUAAAACCACCACUUUUCAAUGGAGGGAGGUGAUGUGUCGAGUGCCUCUUACCUCUAUUAGCCAGCCUGGUGUCUCCUGAAAAGCAGCGAGCAUGUGCAUGUGUGCACUGAUGAUAUGUACCCCUGCAAGUCAGAGAGGGCACAUGCACACCUACGCGUCUUUGCAAACUGCUGGACAUCAUCUGCUGCAGAUGCAGAGGUCCUGCUCUGUGACCCACACUCUGAGCUCUAAGGAGAAGGAGGCACACCCACACCCACACCCUUGAGAACUCACUGACCACAGGGAAGAGUCCACGGAGGCAGACCCAGAACGGAGUGCAGAGAGCAAUGGGAACCGCCUGGGAAUUGUUCUCAAUUGUUUCCUCACACCCACACACUGAUCUCCCGGGGCUCUGCGGCCAGGCUUCCUGUGCCUUCCUCACCCCGGGGAGAGUCUGAACUCCCGGAAUGCGCGUGUGUGUAUCCCCUGCCCCUGCAGAAGACUCUCAACUGAUCCAGCUAAGAACCACCAGCCCAAACGCAAGCCCAAGUCUUGGCGUGACAGGGGCAUUCAACGCUCACAGUUUAUCUGUGGAGAAGAAUCCCAGGCACUGGGUUUCAGAGUCAAGGGCACUGGUGCGGAGGAAGUCUCCAUCAGCCCUCACCUGACUCCUGGCGCUGUGGGUCCCUGAGGGCCCCAGGCAGCUCACCAAUUCUCUGCUUCACGUGGAUGCUUGUGGUUCCUGGCUGACCUCAGUGUCUUUUCCCAGGAUAACAGGACUAGGGGAGUCUCCCUUCACAGUUGGAAAGCACCUUAGUUCCUCCUACUGUCUCAAACCUCUCCAUGGGCAUUGGCAGAGCUGCUGUGGUUUUCAUCCUACAGAUGAGGCCCCAGAGGCUUGAGGGCGAAUGGUGCUCAAGGGUGAGGUCUCUCUGAGGCUGGUGCCCUCCCCACACCCGAGGCCCUGCCUGGCAGCUUUCCCCCAAGACCCCACUCCCUUCAGCUACUGGGACUUCCCUCCCAGUGCAGGCCAUGUGUGCCCUGCUCCUAUGCGGCGGCAGGACAGGUUUCCAAAAACCAACGGCAAAGUUUCCCGAAAGGCUCUAGCUUCCAGGACUCUUGGCAGGGCUCUGCCCAGGAAGCAAUGAGCUGGCACUUUCCUGGCUGUGUGCUUAUAGCUGACCCUGGCCUCAGAGGCCUUCCUCUCCUUAUCAGGAAAGGAUGCCAAAGAGGAGGGAGGAGGCUCUGGGGAGAGUCCAGGCCUUUGUGGGAACCAUCCUAAGGGAAGUGGAUGCUUCUGAGCAGCCCUGCCCGUCUCUGGGCCUUGCCCGCCCUCAUCUUCAGCAGGCCUUUGGCACUGGAAAGAAUGAGCUUCAGCUCCUGAGCCUUGCAGGAGUCAGAGGUCAGCACAUUCCAGGGCUCAGCCUUUCCGCCUCAGUCAAAAACUCAGCAGACCAAAGGCCCGGGCCACAGUCCACUGAGAGUUUUUGACCAAGGCAGAAAUUCUUGUCCACAGAUAAACUGUGAGAUAAACUGGGUGGGGACACCAGCAGCCUCCUCUCUGAAGGGCAAAGCUCUUGGGGCCUGCCAUGUGACCACCCAGCCUGGAAUCCCUGCCAACACACACACACACACAACAAGGCUGCUGCUAGACCCCAGACCACAGCCUGUUCCCAGUUCCUGGGCCCAGCUACUGGGCUGGCUUCUCUGCUGGUGUCCAAGGCUCGCAGAUUCCUGUUCUGCUUUCCCUCUAGACAUCCUCUCUGGUCUUCCUGGUCUCCCCUCAGGCACACAGGCCUCUCCUCCCCUUAUGCCUCUGUCCCCUCUCUCCUCUGCCUGGACCGCUCUCUCAUCCCUCAGCCCCAGCUCUCCCCUCAAUCCCUGGGAUGCCUGUAUGGACCCUCCGGAGGGCUGGUCCCUCUGUCCCACGCCCUGGACUUCUCUGCAGCACUCCUCAUGGCCACCGUGACUCUCUUGGGGGUGAUCCGUUGACUUACUCUGGCUGCAGGAGGGCUGGGACAGUGCCUGCUGCCUGUGUGCUGGCCAGACACAGUGGGAGUGCCCACCCGUGCUUACUGGGGAAGCAGAGACAAUGGAAUGUUGUAGCAGGAUUGGGGUCUUCAGAAGGUACUUCCAUGAGGUCCUGCAUACAGCUGGGGUAGGAGGAGGCAGUGUAGGGCCUGGACGAUAUGGGGCUGACAUGAGAGAACAGGCCAGGAUGGGGUGCUGGGCAGGUGGGUCAGAGUGGCAGUCGUCCACCUGGGACACAAUGUCUUAUAUAUGUUUGCAGGGGUGAAAAGAGACCUGUGCAGGAGUGGUGCCCAGCGAGGGGACCCUCAAACGAGGAGCAGAGUCCCUCAAGCCUUUGUACAAUGCCACCAAGUGUGCCGUCCCUUCUUCAACAGAACUUCCUCCUUGCGAGGAGGCUGCAGUGGUGUCAGAGGUGGUGGGUUCAAACCUGCUCCUGUCUUCUCUCUGUAGCCCCCCUUUCCUCAUCUGUGAAGUGGGGAUGAUAAGAGCUAACUGGCAAGGUUAUUGGGUGGUCAGCUGAGGGAAAGUUCCUGAAAGGUGUUACUGAAUCAAACGUCAUUUUGCUUUUUCCUUCUCGCAGAAUCACAGGCCAGAGGUGAGAGCUGGGGAAAGGUAAACUCUCCCAGUCCCUGGGAGUGGUCAUUACAGACUGGGAAAUUGCCCUCCAGCUGAUGGUAAAGGACCGCAGAUCCUAUUCAUGUGACUCAGGGCCUCUGGUGUGCCUUCUGGGAAGAAAGCAGAAGAGGGUUCCUAACUGUAGAAGGGAAAAGUUUCCCUUUAUUCUUCCAGCCAUGUGGUUCAAUAAGCAUGUACAAGCUAUUACCAGGGCCAGGCACUGUGCAGGCACCAGAAACAUUAAGAUGGAAUGACACAGGCCUGCCCUGGAAGAAACAUUAAGACGGAAUGACACAGGUCUGCCCUGGAAGAAACAUUAAGACGGAAUGACACAGGUCUGCCCUGGAAGGGCUCCUUUCCAGUGCUCGGGGACUCUGUGACUCCUUUCGGGGAGCAGAGUUAUGCACAAGAGUGCAUUUUUCUAGAGAGAUGGUCCACAAGUAUGGGAGGCCAGGCUCUGUCUCCAGGUACCCUUGAUCCUUGGAGACCUCCCUCAGGUCCUGGCUUUCUUUUUGGAUUCAGGGUUUCACUCUGUUCCCCAGGCUGGAAGGCAGUGGACCGAUCAUGGCUUGCUGCCGCCUCCACCUCGUGGGCUCAAGCAUUCCACCUGCCUCAGCCUCUCAAGUAGCUGAGACCACAGGCACACACCACCAGACCCAUAGAACUUUUUUAUUCUUUGUAAAGACAGGGUCUCGCUAUGUCUUUACAUAGUGAGGUCUGGAACUCCUGGGCUAAAGUGAUCCACCCACCUCGUCCUCCCAAAGUGCUAGGAUUACAGGCAUGAGCUGCCACGCCUGGCUUAGCCCUGGCUUUCAAUUCCAUCUCUGUUCUCCAGGACGAGCUGUCUCUGCAACUCCAGGCUCUUCUGGAAGCUGCCACCAACACCUUUUCCACGUGGGGAGCUGCUUGAGGUUCCUUCCACCCUUAACUCAAAUGAUGACAACUCCAGCUUUUGGUUACUCAGGCCAAACUCUUAGAGUCAUUCUAGACCCUUCUGUUUCAAAAUGUACACCCAAUCUAUCGGCCAGUCCUGUCAGCUCUAUUUUAAAAUAUAUGCAGAAACUAAACGAUAGUGGUAGAAAAUAGAUCCGAGGGGCUUGGAGUGUGGAAUAAGGGGGAGACAAACGAACAGGAGAAAAUUUGGAAGCUGAUGGGAAUGUGAAGUAUCUUGACUGUGGAGAUGGUUGAAUGGGUGUAUAUGUGUGUCAGAAUACAUUAAAUUGUACACUACAUGUGUGGUUUAAUAUGUGCUAGUUAUGCCUCAAUAAAACUGUUUUUUAUUUUUUUUAAA
This is a long non-coding RNA of Symphalangus syndactylus (siamang), 4256 nucleotides long. RefSeq lists it as uncharacterized. Lineage: Eukaryota; Metazoa; Chordata; Mammalia; Primates; Hylobatidae. The record is from RefSeq and is a predicted model, not a curated record.